Molecule: long non-coding RNA, 861 nt
Filed under: Physcomitrium patens
Lineage: Eukaryota; Viridiplantae; Streptophyta; Bryopsida; Funariales; Funariaceae
Description: long non-coding RNA (PPAT_LNC010587)
Source: RNAcentral
UUGAGAGUACAUUAGAUACUUGAUUGUAGAAGAUAGAAUAGAAAUUCUAAUAAAAAAAUCCUAAUUCUAAUAAAAUAGAAAAUAAAAUCUAAUUAAAUCUUAAUAAUUCUAAAAAAGCUUUAAUCAAAUUCAAAAAAAAUCUUAAAGAUAUUACAAAAGAAACAAUAAAAAAUCUCAAAGGAAUUGAAAGAAAAUCCACAAUGAAUCUUAAAAGAAUCCUUGAGAAGUCCUAAAAAAUAUUAAAAUAAUCACAAAUAUAUCUUAAAUAAAUCUCAACCAGAUUUUAAUUUAAUCCUAGUUGAAAUCCUAAUAGAUUUCAAUCAAAUCUUGAACAAAUCUUAAAUCCUAAACUAAAUCUUAAAUCAAAUCCUAGACAAACCUUAAAUCCUAAAUCAAAUCCUAAAUCAAAUCCUAAAUCAAAUCUUAGAUCAAAUCUUAGAUCCUAAAUCGAACCUUCAAUCAAAUCCUAGACAAAUCCUAAAUCCUAAAUCAAACCUUAUAUCAAAUCUUAGAUCCUAAACCAAAAUCUAAGUUAAACCCUAGAAAAACCCUAAAACCUAAACUAAACCCUGGAACAAAUCCUAAAUCCUAAACUAAAUUCUAAAUCAAAUCCUAAAUAAAUCCUAAAUCCUAAAUCAAACCUUAGAUCAAAUCUUAGAUCCUAAAUCAAACUCUAAGUCAAAUCCUAGACAAAUCCUAAAACCUAAACCAAACCUUGGAACAAAUCUUAGAUCCUAAAUCAAAUCUUAAUCCUAUUCAAUCUGAUCCUAGUAUAGUUUAGAAUCUCAAUAUCUAUCAAUUGAACUAUUGAUCUUACUUAAAAACUUACAUACCUUUCAAUAACUAAGUUGGCAAUAAGCA